This is a small RNA of 80 nucleotides. It matches the Rfam family "Makes More Granules Regulator RNA (mmgR)". From Rfam's summary of the family: SuhB later renamed mmgR (makes more granules regulator) was a putative non-coding RNA found multiple times in the Agrobacterium tumefaciens genome and related alpha-proteobacteria. Other non-coding RNAs uncovered in the same analysis include: speF, ybhL, metA, and serC. Several studies inSinorhizobium meliloti showed that suhB element is indeed a non-coding RNA:firstly it was detected on Northern blot and called Sm8RNA, secondly in an RNAseq study referred to as SmelC689.
UAUCGCCGCCCUCCUUGAGGGCGUUUCCUCCCUAGACUUGGGCCGCUUGUUGUUUCGAGCGGCCCUUUUUCUUACGCCGC